RNAcentral lists this ribosomal RNA (198 nucleotides) under uncultured bacterium. Its description in RNAcentral is "partial 16S ribosomal RNA". It matches the Rfam family "Bacterial small subunit ribosomal RNA", at positions 328 to 539 of the family's 1533-position model. The record is from RNAcentral.
ACGCUCGACACCUACGGGGGGCAGCAGUGGGGAAUAUUGCACAAUGGGGGAAACCCUGAUGCAGCGACGCCGCGUGAAGGAAGAAGUAUCUCGGUAUGUAAACUUCUAUCAGCAGGGAAGAAAAUGACGGUACCUGACUAAGAAGCCCCGGCUAACUACGUGCUAGCAGCCGCGGUAAUCUGAGCGGGCUGGCAAGGC